ACACCGGCAGCUCGAGUGGGAGCUGUUUUUAUUGGGCCUAAAGCGUUCGUAGCCGGUUUGAUAAGUCUUUGGUGAAAGCUUGUAGCUUAACUAUAAGAAUUGCUGGGGAUACUAUCAGACUUGAAGUCGGGAGAGGUUAGAGGUACUACCGGGGUAGGGGUGAAAUCCUGUAAUCCUGGGAGGACCACCUGUGGCGAAGGCGUCCAGCUGGAACGAACCUGACGGUGAGGGACGAAAGCCAGGGGCGCGAACCGGAUUAGAUACCCGGGUAGUCCUGGCCGUAAACGAUGUGGACUUGGUGUUGGGAUGGCUUCGAGCUGCCCCAGUGCCGAAGGGGAGCUGUUAAGUCCACCGCCUGGGAAGUACGGCCGCAAGGCUGAAACUUAAAUGAAUUGGCGGGG
Molecule: ribosomal RNA, 401 nt
Filed under: uncultured bacterium
Lineage: Bacteria
Description: partial 16S ribosomal RNA
Rfam family: Archaeal small subunit ribosomal RNA
Source: RNAcentral